GUGCAGGACGAAGCCGUUGUUGUAAUAAACUGCUUUUGUACGGAACGAAAAAGCCUCGGUUAAUACCCGGGGUCCAUGACGGUACCGUAAGAAUAAGCACCGGCUAACUACGUGCCAGCAGCCGCGGUAAUACGUAGGGUGCGAGCGUUAAUCGGAAUUACUGGGCGUAAAGCGUGCGCAGGCGGCUAUAUAAGACAGAUGUGAAAUCCCCGGGCUCAACCUGGGAACUGCAUUUGUGACUGUAUAGCUAGAGUGCGGCAGAGGGGGAUGGAAUACCGCGUGUAGCAGUGAAAUGCGUAGAUAUGCGGAGGAACACCGAUGGCGAAGGCAAUCCCCUGGGCCUGCACUGACGCUCAUGCACGACAAGCGUGGGGAGCAAACAGGAUUAGAUACCCUGGUAGUCCACGCCCUAAACGACGUCAACUGGUUCGUUGGGUCUUCACUGACUCAGUAACCGAAGCUAACGCGUGAAGUUGACCGCCUGGGGAGUAC
RNAcentral lists this ribosomal RNA (492 nucleotides) under uncultured bacterium. RNAcentral's name for it is "bacterial SSU rRNA". It matches the Rfam family "Bacterial small subunit ribosomal RNA", at positions 401 to 883 of the family's 1533-position model. The record is from RNAcentral.